ACUGCUCAGUAACACGUGGACAACCUGCCCUGAGGACUGGAAUAAUCCCGGGAAACUGGGGGUAAUUCCAGAUAUGUCGGAACUCCUGGAAUGGGUUCUGGCAGAAAGGCUCCGGCGCCUCAGGAUGGGUCUGCGGCCUAUCAGGGUAGUAGUGGGUGUAACGUACCUACUAGCCUACGACGGGUACGGGUUGUGAGAGCAAGAGCCCGGAGAUGGAUUCUGAGACAUGAAUCCAGGCCCUACGGGGUGCAGCAGGCGCGAAAACUUUACAAUGCGGGCAACCGCGAUAAGGGGACCUCGAGUGCUGGGUUACAAACCUGGCUGUUGGGCUGCCUAAAAAGCAGUCUAUAGCAAGGGCCGGGCAAGACCGGUGCCAGCCGCCGCGGUAACACCGGCGGCUCGAGUGGUAGCCGCUAUUAUUGGGUCUAAAGGGUCUGUAGCCGGCCGACUAAGUCUCUUGGGAAAUCUGGCAUCUCAAGUGUCAGGCUGCCAGGGGAUACUGGUCGGCUUGGGACCGGGAGAGGUGAGAGGUACCUCGGGGGUAGGGGUGAAAUCUUGUAAUCCUCGAGGGACCACCAGUGGCGAAGGCGACUCACCAGAACGGAUCCGACGGCAAGGGACGAAAGCUAGGGGCACGAACCGGAUUAGAUACCCGGGUAGUCCUAGCCGUAAACGAUACUCGCUAGGUGUCGGCCACGGUGCGACCGUGGUCGGUGCCGUAGGGAAGCCGUGAAGCGAGCCACCUGGGAAGUACGGCCGCAAGGCUGAAACUUAAAGGAAUUGGCGGGGGAGCAC
Molecule: ribosomal RNA, 795 nt
Filed under: uncultured Methanosaeta sp.
Lineage: Archaea; Methanobacteriati; Methanobacteriota; Methanomicrobia; Methanotrichales; Methanotrichaceae
Description: bacterial SSU rRNA
Rfam family: Archaeal small subunit ribosomal RNA
Source: RNAcentral